UACAGAGGGGGCAAGCGUUGUUCGGAAUUACUGGGCGUAAAGGGCUCGUAGGCGGCCAACUAAGUCAGACGUGAAAUCCCUCGGCUUAACCGGGGAACUGCAUCUGAUACUGGAUGGCUUGAGUUCGGGAGAGGGAUGCGGAAUUCCAGGUGUAGCGGUGAAAUGCGUAGAUAUCUGGAGGAACACCGGUGGCGAAGGCGGCAUCCUGGACCGACACUGACGCUGAGGCGCGAAAGCUAGGGGAGCGAACGGG
RNAcentral lists this ribosomal RNA (253 nucleotides) under uncultured bacterium. RNAcentral's name for it is "partial 16S ribosomal RNA". It matches the Rfam family "Bacterial small subunit ribosomal RNA", at positions 524 to 776 of the family's 1533-position model. The record is from RNAcentral.